RNAcentral lists this ribosomal RNA (376 nucleotides) under uncultured bacterium. RNAcentral describes it as "bacterial SSU rRNA". It matches the Rfam family "Bacterial small subunit ribosomal RNA", at positions 524 to 898 of the family's 1533-position model. The record is from RNAcentral.
UACGUAGGUGGCGAGCGUUGUCCGGAAUUACUGGGCGUAAAGGGCGCGUAGGCGGUCUUUUAAGUCAGAUGUGAAAACCCGAGGCUUAACUUCGGGCGUGCAUUUGAAACUGGGAGACUAGAGUGCAGGAGAGGAAAGCGGAAUUCCUAGUGUAGCGGUGAAAUGCGUAGAUAUUAGGAGGAACACCAGUGGCGAAGGCGGCUUUCUGGACUGUAACUGACGCUGAGGCGCGAAAGCGUGGGGAGCAAACAGGAUUAGAUACCCUGGUAGUCCACGCUGUAAACGAUGGAUACUAGGUGUGGGAGGUAUCGACCCCUUCCGUGCCGCAGUAAACGCAAUAAGUAUCCCGCCUGGGGAGUACGGCCGCAAGGUUGAA